This 228-nucleotide long non-coding RNA is filed under the name Elaeis guineensis (African oil palm). RNAcentral describes it as "long non-coding RNA (EGUI_LNC057339)". Lineage: Eukaryota; Viridiplantae; Streptophyta; Magnoliopsida; Arecales; Arecaceae. The record is from RNAcentral.
GCUACCAAUUUAUAAAAAUAGUGGGAGGACCUUUAGACUAAAGUCCAUAUCUUUAAGAUCAAAAAUAAUUCAUAUACUAAUAGGCUAAUAUUUUUUAUUUUAGUUAUGGCCAACACACUAUCCCUCCGUACAUUUUUGGACAGCGACAGACUCAUCAGAUCCAACUUCGAUAGCUAGUAUCGACAGUUAAAGAUCGUCUUGGAGUAUGAGAGAAUUUUGUACGUCCUU